CACGUAGGGCGCAAGCGUUGUCCGGAAUUAUUGGGCGUAAAGAGCUCGUAGGCGGUCCGUCACGUCCGCUGUGAAAACCCAGGGCUCAACCCUGGGCUUGCAGUGGAUACGGGCAGACUAGAGGUAGGUAGGGGAGAAUGGAAUUCCCGGUGUAGCGGUGAAAUGCGCAGAUAUCGGGAGGAACACCGGUGGCGAAGGCGGCGACCUGGGUAGAUACUGACGCUGAGGCGCGAAAGCGUGGGGAGCAAACAGG
Molecule: ribosomal RNA, 253 nt
Filed under: uncultured bacterium
Lineage: Bacteria
Description: partial 16S ribosomal RNA
Rfam family: Bacterial small subunit ribosomal RNA
Source: RNAcentral